RNAcentral lists this long non-coding RNA (3022 nucleotides) under Nicotiana benthamiana. Its description in RNAcentral is "long non-coding RNA (NBEN_LNC011324)". The record is from RNAcentral. Lineage: Eukaryota; Viridiplantae; Streptophyta; Magnoliopsida; Solanales; Solanaceae.
UUAGAUCACACUCAAAUUGAGCCAACAACUUUAUUCGCCCAAUUACUCCACAUGCCCGCCCCAAAUUCCUCCCUAAUUAUCUGAUCCAUUUCCCACCUUUCAAAAUCAUUAUAAGCGACCUAAUCUUCACCCAAAUUAACAGAGAUAGAUCUCCUCUUUUUUGGAAGCCCAGCCGCCACCUCCCCCUCAUUCCUUUUCUUUGAAUAAACAAACGAUAUCCCUCCCAUAGAAACAAAAAACCCCAGCAGCUACCCUCUUCGUCUUUUUCUUCUCUCAAGCAGCCACCUAAUUCUGCCUCCUUCUCAAACGAGCUUCACAAACAAAGCCAAAAUUGGAUUCUGGAUAAAAAAUAAAUCAAGAGAAAACAAAAAGGAAAGAAAAAUUGAUCGAAAAACAGAAAGAAAUAGGCUAAAACAGCAAAUUCUGUCAUCAUUAAAAGCUAUUAUUCAUGGUUCUGAGUUUUCUAAAGCAAUUCUAUGUCGAAGCAUUACCGAACCUCUGCUGUUGAUUGCUGAAAUUUCUACCGAGCUUCAUCUGAAUUCGGAUGCCUUCAUUUGGCUCACCUCAGUUAUCUCAUUUUUUGAUUGGGUAAGUUUUAAACCCCUUGUAUUAUGCUUUUAUUUGAAUAAUUGAACCUGUUGAUUCUUGAUUAAUUUCUGUGAAUUUGUUUACCUCAUGAUUUUCUGCUAUUGAAAUAUAUAAUAAAUAUAAUAUUGUGUCAACUUGGAAAGUGAUAAAACUUAGAAGUAAUUCAAAACAUGAUGCUUAUAUGAAGUAAUUUAAUUCUUGGUUUUAAUGAGGACUCCUAUUGUUGGUUAUCCGCUCAUUCUAGAUUUUAAAAUGUAUGUUUUCCAAUCCGAAAUUGGUUGCAUCUUCAUUGGAUUUCUACGGAUCUACUUAGUGCUACCUUAUUUGAUAAAGUUUUCAUUUAAAAGCAUGGUUGGGUUCUAAAUGGGACCGAAUAUUAAUAACUGUUAUGGGAAAAGAAAUUUUCUCUCAAUAUAUACAAAAAGAGAGUGUAAGAAUGAUUGUAGAUCAUUAAAAUACCAUUUGAGCAGUAGGAAUCAAUGUAUACAAUUUUUGUUAGGUGUAGAUUGGGAUGAUUUUCAAUGUCUUGGUUGGUCUUGUAUUCAUAUUGUGCUAUUUUCGUAACUUGCAGUAACAUGUCUCAUCUUAGUGCUAAAUCUACCAAAUCCUGGGCCUGACAUUUAGCAGACCCAUUUUCUAGAGCUAUUACAUUAACCAAAAGCCUUUUUUGGCUCAUUGAAUGAAGAGAACUUUCUUUUAUGAGAAUGUUGAAAUAUCCAAAUUUACUUACAAUUUGCAAUUUUGGGUGAUGCUUAUAACUUUAGAUAAGUCUUUAGAUUUAACCUUUCAACAAAAAUAAUUUUCCUGCGCAUAAGAAGUUAUUGUAUUAGCAUGAAUCUGCUUUUGGGAGUUGUGCUGUGAUCCUUGGCCGCCUAACCUUGUAAAAUUAGAACCUCUACAUAGAUUACAAGUUUAGUUUAGAACAAAUAACUUAUGAAUCUUCGUAGGAAGCUUAGGCGCGUUCCAACCUAUUAUCGUAAUUAUAUAUACGUUCGCGUAAUAUAAUUAUAAUUUUUUAUAAUAAAUCAAAUUACGCGUUCGUGCGAAUUUUACCGAACAAUCUUAAUAAAUAACAAAGUGUUAUUAAUUAUGUAUACGUACACGUGACAUGAUUUUUAACAUGCAAAUGCAACAAAUUUACGCGUAUGUGAUCCGUUUCAAAGAUAAUCCAUAAACACCAUAAUUAAAAGUGGUUAAAAGGGUAAAUGUAUAUAUGUUCUAAAAUAAGUAAUUCAACAAUCUAAUUAAGCCAGGUAUGAUUAAAGCGACCGUGCUAAAAUUACGGAAUUCGGGAGUGUCUUACACCUUCUCCCAGGUUAACAUAAUUUCUUACGCAUUCUUAUGCAUUUCGCCGGUAGUAAAAUAGAGUCAAUUUCCUUAAUUUGGGAUUUAAAAUUAAUCGAUAACUUGGGACAUCUUAAAAUUAUUCCAAUUAACGACUCUAAACCAAAUAAAUAAUUCCAUUUCGAAUAAUAUGAUUUUAAUUGAAAAAAAUCUCUAUUUCUUGGAUAAAAGAUGUGUGACACUAUCAACAUAGAGUAUAAAGAUGAGGAGGUGAAUCUCACGACCUCCCCGUGACGAGGGAGGUUGCUUACACCUUUUGCAACAUAACCAAACAAAAUGGGAAAUGAGUCUCUACAUCUGAUAACUAGGGAUUUUUACAGCUUUUAUACUCCUUCUCACUUAUGCUUUGAUUAGAAAUUCAUACAAAAUAGUCUCAAAAGGCUCACAAAGUGCACUUGAUUGCAGGUUUGAUCAACAAAGUGACAGGAUAAUCAAAGAUCGACUCAAAAUGAGUGAAACUUGCACAAGUGAUAAAGACAAGGCAAGCUCAGGUAAAAACAGGCUCUGUGCGGGCGCACUACAUUCUUUGCGGUCUGCACAGGGAGAUUCAGAGAGCAUGAUUUUCAGGCUAAUUGGCAGUGCGACCGCACUAGGUUUUGUGCGGUCCGCACUGAAGGCCAUGCGGCCGCACUCGAUUUAGUGUGGUCCGCAGAACCAAGAUUCGGAGAAGUUGCACGAUGAAAUUUUGAAGCAUGUGCGCUCCGCGGUCGAUUUUGUUCAGACCGCACUAGAAGCCUCUCCGGCCACAGUCCAUUCUAUGCGGUUUGCAGUGCCUGAGUUCAGAGAGUCAGAUUUUCAAGUUUAGAUCCCUAGUGCGGCCACACACCAUUUGUGCGGUCUGCACUAACUUGUCCAAAUUUUUUAAGCUUAGUAUAAAUAGAUUCUUUUUCCAUUUUUUUGGUAUCAGAUAUUGUGAUUAAGCAGUUGCGCUCGAAAGUUCAAGAUUCUUAAAUAUUUUGGGCAUUUUUAGCUACUUUUAAUCACUAAAUCUCUGUAUUUUUAGUGAUUAAUUAAUAUGAGUUUAUUUUCAUCUAUUUCUUAUUUUUCUUCUUUAAUUAUGAGAAGCUAGACCCACUAACUAGGAUUGUGG